Non-coding RNA from Vicia faba (fava bean), 183 nucleotides. The record is from the annotation of a GenBank genome assembly. Lineage: Eukaryota; Viridiplantae; Streptophyta; Magnoliopsida; Fabales; Fabaceae.
AUGGUUGUUGUUUUUGAUAUUUCUUAUGGUUUAUCUGAUGUAUUCAUUUCAAUCUGGUUUUUGAGAUUUAGGGCUUUUGAAAUAAAGUUAUUAGAUUUAUGGUUUAUUAGGGUUUCAUUUAAAUCUCAUAAGUUAGUUAUGUGUUUGUAUACAUGGUUUCUGUUUUGGGUUUUACUCUUAUGA